RNAcentral lists this ribosomal RNA (253 nucleotides) under uncultured bacterium. Its description in RNAcentral is "partial 16S ribosomal RNA". It matches the Rfam family "Bacterial small subunit ribosomal RNA", at positions 524 to 776 of the family's 1533-position model. The record is from RNAcentral.
UACGAAGGGAGCUAGCGUUGUUCGGAAUCACUGGGCGUAAAGCGCACGUAGGCGGAUGUGUCAGUCAGGGGUGAAAUCCCGGAGCUCAACUUCGGAACUGCCUUUGAUACAGCACAUCUUGAGUCCGGAAGAGGUGGGUGGAAUUCCUAGUGUAGAGGUGAAAUUCGUAGAUAUUAGGAAGAACACCGGUGGCGAAGGCGGCCCACUGGUCCGGUACUGACGCUGAGGUGCGAAAGCGUGGGGAGCAAACAGG